Molecule: ribosomal RNA, 800 nt
Filed under: uncultured bacterium
Lineage: Bacteria
Description: bacterial SSU rRNA
Rfam family: Bacterial small subunit ribosomal RNA
Source: RNAcentral
AGAGUUUGAUCCUGGCUCAGGAUGAACGCUGGCGGCGUGCUUAACACAUGCAAGUCGAACGAAGCACUCUAUUUGAUUUCCUUCGGGAUUGAUUAUUUUGUGACUGAGUGGCGGACGGGUGAGUAACGCGUGGGUAACCUGCCUUGUACAGGGGGAUAACAGUUGGAAACAGCUGCUAAUACCGCAUAAGCGCACAGUACCGCAUGGUAUAGUGUGAAAAACUCCGGUGGUAUAAGAUGGACCCGCGUUUGAUUAGCUAGUUGGUGGGGUAACGGCCUACCAAGGCGACGAUCAAUAGCCGACCUGAGAGGGUGACCGGCCACAUUGGGACUGAGACACGGCCCAAACUCCUACGGGAGGCAGCAGUGGGGAAUAUUGCACAAUGGGCGAAAGCCUGAUGCAGCGACGCCGCGUGAGCGAAGAAGUAUUUCGGUAUGUAAAGCUCUAUCAGCAGGGGAGAUAAUGACGGUACCUGACUAAGAAGCACCGGCUAAAUACGUGCCAGCAGCCGCGGUAAUACGUAUGGUGCAAGCGUUAUCCGGAUUUACUGGGUGUAAAGGGAGCGCAGGCGGUGCGGCAAGUCUGAUGUGAAAGCCCGGGGCUCAACCCCGGUACUGCAUUGGAAACUGUCGUGCUAGAGUGUCGGAGGGGUAAGCGGAAUUCCUAGUGUAGCGGUGAAAUGCGUAGAUAUUAGGAGGAACACCAGUGGCGAAGGCGGCUUACUGGACGAUAACUGACGCUGAGGCUCGAAAGCGUGGGGAGCAAACAGGAUUAGAUACCCUGGUAGUCCACGCCGUAAA